CCCACAAUUAACCGAAUCCCUCAAUCAACAAAUCAAUGACCCAUCGCAUCACCCCCCCCCCCCCCAUUAAAAAUAAACCUCGAAAGUCUCUAGAGUCGAUCUUCACUGAUAAAUAUCAACGUCGAUUUUGCAAACCGCAGCCGCUCCUUAUCGUAUAUAUAUAUAUUUUUUGAAUCGUGCCGAGAGCUCCUGCUGUUCCGAUAACUCUCGAGAUGAUAAAUAUCGUGAAAAAUAAGGUCCAAGAAAUUGAGGAAUUCAAAAUCUCUGUCCAGUCUAGUAGGAUUUAAAAGCAGAGGCGAAAGAUUUUACAAUCUCCUGAUGUCAGGAAAAUAAGUGGGAGAGAUUUCAGGGCGGUCUUGGGAUUUUUCUCUUUCAUGCCGGCUGGGACAAGACCCAGAAAUUUUCCUGGAAUGAGGGAAGUGGCCCAAGUGCUUCUCUUCAGAAAAUAAAUGGACGAGAGGAAACGGCCCGAGGUUUCUUAUUUUCGAGCCCUUCAACAAGUGCGGAGCGACUUAUUUUACGUAAAACAGUUUUUCAAAAUUUUGAAUGUACCUUUGGCCUGAUCCAUUGUGCCCCGGGUACCCAUAUCAGUGGAAAGAGAACUUUGGAGUGCAAAUGUUUGAACAAAAUGUGAAGGAUUACGUGAGAAGAAGGGCGCACGUGUUGAUUGUGGAAGGGGAGAAUGAAGAGAACUGAAAAGUUUGGAGGGUAUGGAGUGGGGGAAAUAUGAAAGAUUUCGACACUUCGCUGAAUCAUAAAAUUGGUGGGUGCAUUGAAAUUUUGGUGAUUCGCU
This is a long non-coding RNA of Diachasmimorpha longicaudata, 793 nucleotides long. RefSeq lists it as uncharacterized. The transcript is spliced from 4 exons. Lineage: Eukaryota; Metazoa; Arthropoda; Insecta; Hymenoptera; Braconidae. The record is from RefSeq and is a predicted model, not a curated record.